GAUGAACGCUGGCGGCGUGCUUAACACAUGCAAGUCGAACGGUGAAGCAGGAGCUUGCUCUUGUGGAUCAGUGGCGAACGGGUGAGUAACACGUGAGCAACCUGCCCCUGACUCUGGGAUAAGUGCUGGAAACGGCGUCUAAUACUGGAUAUGUGAUGUGACCGCAUGUCUGCAUCUGGAAAGAAUUUCGGUUGGGGAUGGGCUCGCGGCCUAUCAGCUUGUUGGUGAGGUAAUGGCUCACCAAGGCGUCGACGGGUAGCCGGCCUGAGAGGGUGACCGGCCACACUGGGACUGAGACACGGCCCAGACUCCUACGGGAGGCAGCAGUGGGGAAUAUUGCACAAUGGGCGGAAGCCUGAUGCAGCAACGCCGCGUGAGGGAUGACGGCCUUCGGGUUGUAAACCUCUUUUAGCAGGGAAGAAGCGAAAGUGACGGUACCUGCAGAAAAAGCACCGGCUAACUACGUGCCAGCCGCCGCGGUAA
This 483-nucleotide ribosomal RNA is filed under the name uncultured bacterium. Its description in RNAcentral is "partial 16S ribosomal RNA". It matches the Rfam family "Bacterial small subunit ribosomal RNA", at positions 28 to 523 of the family's 1533-position model. The record is from RNAcentral.